UAGGGAAUCUUCCACAAUGGGCGCAAGCCUGAUGGAGCAACACCGCGUGAGUGAAGAAGGGUUUCGGCUCGUAAAGCUCUGUUGUUAAAGAAGAACACGUAUGAGAGUAACUGUUCAUUCGAUGACGGUAUCUAACCAGCAAGUCACGGCUAACUACGUACCAG
Molecule: ribosomal RNA, 164 nt
Filed under: uncultured bacterium
Lineage: Bacteria
Description: partial 16S rRNA
Rfam family: Bacterial small subunit ribosomal RNA
Source: RNAcentral